CAGUAGCCGCGGUAAAACGGAGGGUGCAAGCGUUAAUCGGAAUUACUGGGCGUAAAGCGCACGCAGGCGGUCUGACAAGUCAGAUGUGAAAUCCCCGGGCUUAACCUGGGAACUGCAUUUGAAACUGUCAGGCUGGAGUCUUGUAGAGGGGGGUGGAAUUCCAGGUGUAGCGGUGAAAUGCGUAGAGAUCUGGAGGAAUACCGGUGGCGAAGGCGGCCCCCUGGACAAAGACUGACGCUCAGGUGCGAAAGCGUGGGGAGCAAACAGGAUUAGAUACCCCAGUAGUCCCUGUCUCUUAUAA
This 301-nucleotide ribosomal RNA is filed under the name uncultured bacterium. Its description in RNAcentral is "partial 16S ribosomal RNA". It matches the Rfam family "Bacterial small subunit ribosomal RNA", at positions 509 to 809 of the family's 1533-position model. The record is from RNAcentral.